This 253-nucleotide ribosomal RNA is filed under the name uncultured bacterium. Its description in RNAcentral is "partial 16S ribosomal RNA". It matches the Rfam family "Bacterial small subunit ribosomal RNA", at positions 524 to 776 of the family's 1533-position model. The record is from RNAcentral.
UACGUAGGGUGCAAGCGUUGUCCGGAAUUAUUGGGCGUAAAGAGCUCGUAGGCGGUUCGUCGCGUCGGCUGUGAAAACCUGAGGCUCAACCUCAGGCCUGCAGUCGAUACGGGCGGACUUGAGUACUGCAGGGGAGACUGGAAUUCCUGGUGUAGCGGUGAAAUGCGCAGAUAUCAGGAGGAACACCGGUGGCGAAGGCGGGUCUCUGGGCCGUUACUGACACUGAGGAGCGAAAGCGUGGGGAGCGAACAGG